ACAAGCGGAGGAGCAUGUGGUUUAAUUCGAUGAUACGCGAGGAACCUUACCUGGGCUCGAACGUAAGAUGACUGUAGGUGAAAGCUUACAUCUCUUCGGAGCAUUUUACGAGGUGCUGCAUGGUUGUCGUCAGCUCGUGCCGUGAGGUGUCGGGUUAAGUCCCAUAACGAGCGCAACCCCUACCCUUAGUUGCCAUCAGGUUAAGCUGGGGACUCUAAAGGAACUGCCUACGCAAGUAGUGAGGAAGGCGGGGAUGACGUCAAAUCAGCACGGCCCUUACGUCCAGGGCUACACACGUGCUACAAUGGCCGAUACAGAGGGCAGCUACCUGGUGACAGGAUGCAAAUCUCCAAAGUCGGUCUCAGUUCGGAUCGGAGUCUGCAACCCGACUCCGUGAAGUUGGAUUCGCUAGUAAUCGCGCAUCAGCCAUGGCGCGGUGAAUACGUUCCCGGGCCUU
RNAcentral lists this ribosomal RNA (457 nucleotides) under uncultured Sphingobacteriales bacterium. Its description in RNAcentral is "bacterial SSU rRNA". It matches the Rfam family "Bacterial small subunit ribosomal RNA", at positions 925 to 1382 of the family's 1533-position model. The record is from RNAcentral. Lineage: Bacteria; Pseudomonadati; Bacteroidota; Sphingobacteriia; Sphingobacteriales.